UAAACACUUACAUCAACAACC
RNAcentral lists this unclassified non-coding RNA (21 nucleotides) under Dictyostelium discoideum. The record is from RNAcentral. Lineage: Eukaryota; Evosea; Eumycetozoa; Dictyosteliales; Dictyosteliaceae.